GUCUUAUUGAUUAAUAAUUUUAAGUCUUGCCUGCCCUCUGUUAUAAUAAUAAAUGGCCGCAUUAAUUUGACUGUGCUAAGGUAGCAUAAUCAUUAGUUUUUUAAUUGAAAGCUGGAAUGAAAGGUGAUAUAAGAAAAUAUCUGUCUCUUUUAUAAAAUUAAAAUUUUAUUUUUAAGUAAAAAAGCUUAAAUAGGAUUAAAAGACGAGAAGACCCUAUAGAAUUUAAUAUAAAAUAAUUUUUUAAUUUAUUAGAAAUUAAAAUUUAAAGAUUAAUUUAUAUUUAAUUGGGGUGAUUAAAAAACAUAAUAAUCUUUUUUUUUUAUAGGACCAUUGAUAUAUGAUUAUAUGAUUCAUUUUUAUGAUUUAAGAAUAAAUUACCUUAGGGAUAACAGCGUAAUUUUUUUUUAAAGUUCAAAUUAAAAGGAAAGAUUGCGACCUCGAU
Molecule: ribosomal RNA, 442 nt
Filed under: Donacia akiyamai
Lineage: Eukaryota; Metazoa; Arthropoda; Insecta; Coleoptera; Chrysomelidae
Description: partial 16S ribosomal RNA
Source: RNAcentral